CCGUGAGGGAAAGGCGAAAAGAACCCCGGCGAGGGGAGUGAAAAAGAACCUGAAACCGUGUACGUACAAGCAGUGGGAGCACCCUUUGGGGUGUGACUGCGUACCUUUUGUAUAAUGGGUCAGCGACUUAUAUUCUGUAGCAAGGUUAACCGAAUAGGGGAGCCGGAGGGAAACCGAGUCUUAAUUGGGCGUUAAGUUGCAGGGUAUAGACCCGAAACCCGGUGAUCUAGCCAUGGGCAGGUUGAAGGUUGGGUAACACUAACUGGAGGACCGAACCGACUAAUGUUGAAAAAUUAGCGGAUGACCUGUGGCUGGGGGUGAAAGGCCAAUCAAACCGGGAGAUAGCUGGUUCUCCCCGAAAGCUAUUUAGGUAGCGCCUCGUGAAUUCAUCUCCGGGGGUAGAGCACUGUUUCGGCUAGGGGGCCAUCCCGGCUUACCAACCCGAUGCAAACUGCGAAUACCGGAGAAUGUUAUCACGGGAGACACACGGCGGGUGCUAACGUCCGUCGUGAAGAGGGAAACAACCCAGACCGCCAGCUAAGGUCCCAAAGUCAUGGUUAAGUGGGAAACGAUGUGGGAAGGCCCAGACAGCCAGGAUGUUGGCUUAGAAGCAGCCAUCAUUUAAAGAAAGCGUAAUAGCUCACUGGUCGAGUCGGCCUGCGCG
RNAcentral lists this ribosomal RNA (664 nucleotides) under Salmonella enterica subsp. enterica serovar Newport. RNAcentral's name for it is "partial 23S ribosomal RNA". It matches the Rfam family "Bacterial large subunit ribosomal RNA", at positions 501 to 1165 of the family's 2925-position model. The record is from RNAcentral. Lineage: Bacteria; Pseudomonadati; Pseudomonadota; Gammaproteobacteria; Enterobacterales; Enterobacteriaceae.